This 497-nucleotide ribosomal RNA is filed under the name uncultured bacterium. Its description in RNAcentral is "partial 16S ribosomal RNA". It matches the Rfam family "Bacterial small subunit ribosomal RNA", at positions 28 to 507 of the family's 1533-position model. The record is from RNAcentral.
GACGAACGCUGGCGGCGUGCCUAAUACAUGCAAGUUGAGCGCUGAAGGUUGGUACUUGUACCAACUGGAUGAGCAGCGAACGGGUGAGUAACGCGUGGGGAAUCUGCCUUUGAGCGGGGGACAACAUUUGGAAACGAAUGCUAAUACCGCAUAAAAACUUUAAACACAAGUUUUAAGUUUUAAAGAUGCAAUUGCAUCACUCAAAGAUGAUCCCGCGUUGUAUUAGCUAGUUGGUGAGGUAAAGGCUCACCAAGGCGAUGAUACAUAGCCGACCUGAGAGGGUGAUCGGCCACAAUGGGACUGAGAAACGGCCCAAAAUCCUACGGGAGGCAGCAGUAGGGAAUCUUCGGCAAUGGACGAAAGUCUGACCGAGCAACGCCGGGUGAGUGAAGAAGGUUAUCGGGUCGUAAAACUCUGUUGGUAGAGAAGAACGGUGGUGAGAGUGGAAAGCUCAUCAAGUGACGGUAACUACCCAGAAAGGUACGGCUAACUACGUG